GGCUAUUUGAAAAAUUAAAGAAACUCUCCUUUUCACUUAUAUUUUGAUUGCAUAAGAAUUAAAGAAUGAUUGGAAUCUUCAGCUCUGCUAAUAUCUAGAUCAUAGAAAUUGACUAGAAAGAGUAACAACAAUGCUCCGUUGUGAAGUAUUAUAAAAGUCAAAAGAUAAAUAAUUAUAGCUGACAGUUUGGUAUAUAUUGCACUGUGUCAUACUUACAAUACUACUAUUUUUAAAUUAUAAGGCUCAAAUUCAUGCAUCUACUCCAUUGGAAAUGUUUAGUUAAUUGGGAUUUUCAUUCUGUGAUUGUGAGCACUUCUCAAGCUUAGAAGUUAAUAAAAUAUGCUGUGUUAUCAAGUUCCAUCUCAUCUAGAAGAAUCAUGAUGAUCUAUAUAGGACUGAUCUAUGGAAAGGCUGAAGGUUAUACAAUAAGAUACUCUUCUCUCAAAAAAGAGUUUCCAUAAAUCAUUUGGGUAUGAAUGGAUCGGUCCAAUAGUUGAUCAGUUGCCUCAUUCAGUUUGAGUUUUGCAAGAUUUCCUUAACUUGUCACUAAUGUAUUCAAAAUAUUUUUCACUUUCGGGAAAUCUCCAAUAGCAUUUCUGAUGGUUGUUUGAAAGGCUUCCAUAAGAGAAUAGCCAAAGUGUAAUAUACCACCAUGCUGAACCUUACAGAGCAGCAACCAUUUCCCCAUUCAAAGAUAUAAAGAUAAUGAGGAAAUUUCCCAUGAUCUUUUAAUAUCUGAGUUUAAUUAUGGUCAGUACUGGUUCGAAGUUCAAUCCAUUUAAGAAUGAGAUAAAAUAUGAGUACUAUUUCUUCUUGGUUCUUGUAUUCAGAGUAUAUCAAUUUCAGAAUUUUUGUCAGUUUGUUAUUAGUCAUUGCAAUAGAGUAUGUUUGACAUGGCUGAUAAAAAAUGGAAUGUUUGCUGACACCAAACUCUUAUUUCAGUUCCAAAACAGUGAAGUACAGUAUAAUGAUGUAGCAUGAGGAGAUAGCAUAUAUGGUGGGAAGAUUCAAAAACAGCCAAGCAUAUCCUAUAAUAUAUCUAAGGAAUGACUACUAGCUUUGGUCAUAUCCUCUCUUAAAGCCAGAAUAAUUUAAUUGUCACUGGAUUAUUCAGUCAAGUUGUUCUUGAAAUUGUUCUGGAUCAUGUUUGAACAAGAAGGCUUUUUGUUCUGAUACACAAUUUUGUCUAAUAUAAAUAUCCUCAUUGUGAGUCUUUAAUAGAGAUCUCAGUUUCUGACAUGGUUAGUUUAUCAAAUUUUCCAGCAAAGCCUGCCUGAAGGAAAAGUAGAUUUCCAUGAAUUCACAUUGCAGCCUUAACAUUCCUCUUGCUUGGUAAUGACUUCUAUGUUGGCAAGAUUUUCUUCUCUGGCUUUAUUCCUUUUUUACUAUCUCCGACAUUCAAGAGGAAGGAGGCUAAUGAAGACAAUGAAUAUAUCUGAGUAGCAGAUGCAUUAACAACUGUUAUAAUAAAUUCAGAACCAGGUUAUUUAAAAGAAAAAAACUUUUAUUUAAGUAAAAGUAAUAUCAAAAACAGAACGUUUGAAUUAGAAAUGCAUCAUAAGAGCAAAAGAACUUAGCAUCUUUAGUCAAAUCCAUUAAAAACACAGUUGACAGUCUUGAUCAUCAAAACACUUCAACAGUCUAUAGUUAUGUAGGAGACAAUGGAUAAAUGGAGAUAAACAAUGGUAUCUGGUAUUCAAUGGCUCUUCUCUUGUUCUAAUACAGCAACCCCUUUUUUCAUACAAUAAUUCAUUUACAUAUAUGUUAUAUUAUGCAGUUGUAAUAAGCAUUAUAUAUUUCAAUAAAUAU
Molecule: long non-coding RNA, 1809 nt
Filed under: Androctonus crassicauda
Lineage: Eukaryota; Metazoa; Arthropoda; Arachnida; Scorpiones; Buthidae
Source: RNAcentral